UACGUAGGGUGCAAGCGUUGUCCGGAAUUAUUGGGCGUAAAGAGCUCGUAGGCGGUUUGUCGCGUCGGCUGUGAAAUCCCGAGGCUCAACCUCGGGCCUGCAGUCGAUACGGGCAAACUAGAGUGUGGUAGGGGAGACUGGAAUUCCUGGUGUAGCGGUGAAAUGCGCAGAUAUCAGGAGGAACGCCGGCGGCGAAGGCGGGUCUCUGGGCCAUAACUGACGCUGAGGAGCGAAAGCGUGGGGAGCGAACAGG
RNAcentral lists this ribosomal RNA (253 nucleotides) under uncultured bacterium. RNAcentral describes it as "partial 16S ribosomal RNA". It matches the Rfam family "Bacterial small subunit ribosomal RNA", at positions 524 to 776 of the family's 1533-position model. The record is from RNAcentral.